UACGGAGGGUGCAAGCGUUAAUCGGAAUUACUGGGCGUAAAGCGCGCGUAGGUGGUUAAGUAAGCGAGAUGUGAAAGCCCCGGGCUCAACCUGGGAAUGGCAUUUCGAACUGCUUGGCUAGAGUGUGGUAGAGGGUAGUGGAAUUUCCUGUGUAGCGGUGAAAUGCGUAGAUAUAGGAAGGAACACCAGUGGCGAAGGCGGCUACCUGGACCAACACUGACACUGAGGUGCGAAAGCGUGGGGAGCAAACAGG
This 253-nucleotide ribosomal RNA is filed under the name uncultured bacterium. RNAcentral describes it as "partial 16S ribosomal RNA". It matches the Rfam family "Bacterial small subunit ribosomal RNA", at positions 524 to 776 of the family's 1533-position model. The record is from RNAcentral.